UUUUUUUGGAUUUUAUCCAUUCAAUAAUUAAAAUUUUAGAUUAAAACUAAUUAAUUUAAUUGGGUGAGUUGUCUAUUUAAAUAUAUAUAUAUUUCUUAUGAAGAAAUCAGGAAACUCCAAUCGGUGUAGCAAACGUUGAGGAAUUGAAUUUAGAAAAGGUUGAAUUGACGAUGAUGAAGGCUUCUGCCGAUUAACUUGACUUUUGAGACACCCAUUGUAAAUCAUCAUCUAUCCAUCCAAGACUCCAAUCCUUGUAUCACGUGGACGAAAAUGGUGCUUUACCAAGCGUGUAUUAAUCCUAUCCACAUUCGCAGUUGAAGACACCAUGUAGUGCAAGUAAACACAUGGAUUAUAGGCCUUGCAAGAAAUUGAAUUCAUUAUUCUUGCUUUUAAUGAAUAUACUUGCUGCAUUAUGACAGUUGCUAAUGUACAACUAAUGUUCUAUAUAUCAUGCUUUUGUCAAAGGAGAAGAAAUUUUUGAAGGCCCAAAAACUGAUCUUGCAUAUGCAAUUGGCAAAGAAGCUAUCUUCUUGGCUUUGCUUACAUAAGCUCUCUUUGUGAAGUUGUUGUAAUCAUUUGCUUCUAUCUCGUCUAGUAUUCGCCGGUAUAACAGUAAGGAUGCCCAUACCGGCCAUCUACUUGCAGCGCUGAGCUCUGUCACUCCUUUCUCUGCCUCGUUAAAGAACAUCCUUGCUCUCUUAAUUUGGUCCUUCAUGAAAUUUCUCCACUUAUCUGUCACUUUUCCAGCAAAUAUGUCAUCAUCUGAAAGCCCUGCCUGUGCCAGCUCAUCCUGUGGUAAAUAAAUCCUUCCUCUUCUUGCAUCCUCUCCAACAUCCCUUAGUAUGUUGGUCAGCUGAUUUGCUAUUCCUAACGCCAAAGCAGCAUUAUAGACACUCUCUGUUGAUGCCUGUGAUUCAGGUGCAAUGCCCAUGACAGGAACGCUCAUUAAUCCAACCGUCCCAGCAACAUAAUAACAGUAAAGAUAAAGCUCGUCAAAGUUCUGAUAUCUUGACUUCUUCAGGUCCAUCCUCAUUCCUUCUAUCAUAUCUUUGAAUGGCUGAAUAUCAACUGGAAAUUUUGUAACUGUAUCUGAUAAAGCAGCAUCAAGCAUAUCAAAAGGACGACCUCGGAAAAGAUCUUCCAACCUUGUCUCCCAUCUAUCUAAAGCUGUUGGCGUUAUGUGUGAAGCAUUAGGCCCAUCAACAAGUUCAUCUGUCCUUCUACACCACACUACAUGUGCAGGGAACAUCACAAGAAAAAAAAAUAUAUAGUUUUUUCUUUCCUUUAUUUAUUUAUUUAUGUACUUUUUAAGAUGGAAUGCUCAUUUAAGUGGACUCCAUUCUAUUUCACCAAUUAGGCUUUCAUUAAAGCCUAAGGUACUAAAUGCCAGUACCUCAUACAUGAUAAGAUCCACCUCUGUGAUUUCAAUGAGCUUGCUCAGGAAUCCUGAGACCAAAUCUCAACUUUAUAAAGGUCAGCAAAGAAGCAAACAAGAGGAAUGGUAGAAGGCUAUCCCCCACAACACCUCCCCACCCCAGAGGGAGUGGGGUUCCACAGUGCAGCUAUGAAUUGAAGGGAAAAUAAAAUCAAAUUUUGGUAACAAAAUUUAAAUUUGAAACACUGUUCUUGCAUAGAGGCACUAAAACCUUCAUAAAUUAUUUACAUUACAAAAGAAAAGUGCAAGUCAUAAAUUCCAAAAGCUACUAACAAGCUUUAUAUUACUAAAUCCUUUUUUUUUUAUUUCCAGAUUAUUUACCAGUUUUAUUUGAUUUGAUUUGAUUUGAUUUAUUUAUUUAUUUAAAUUUCUAACCCAUUUCAUAGUUCAAACCUUGUAAUAUUGAGUUGGAUUAGAAUCAUCCUAUCCACCUUCUCAAUUCCCUUUCAUUGGUGUAAUUAUGUGCAAUUGCUUCAAUUUCAUAAGUAAAAUGGAUUAGAAUCAAAUAUCUAACUCACCGUAUAUUGCCCAGAUAGCUCUUCUCCUUUCAGGGGUCAUUAGCAGAGUUCCCAAGUAAAAUGUCUUGGCAUACUCAGCACAAACUUCCCCACAGCGUUCGUAAGCUUCACUCAACAAGCUCAAAGUCCCUCGAAGCACGAUAUCUGGUUUCACAUCGAGAUCCUCACUUGACCUUAAUUGCUUUUUAACCAAGGCUGCUUGCUUCAGCACCACAUUGUAUACCUUCUCCUCAGAGGAGAUGGCCAUUUCUCCUGCGUGACUCGCUACCAUGCUCGAUAUUAUAGGUAAUUUGUUUCCAAUACCUAUGCAAGGAUUCCUCAAAUCUAUAUUCACCAAGCCUGACUUCCAUUUCUGGUUCCCACUCUUUUUUGCUCUCCUCUUAAACAUCAAACUCCGAUCUACAGAACCGAACUUGGAUGAAUCUAAAACGCGGACCGAAUGGAAGAAUGCAAACGAGUUGGAAACCUCUGUAUUGGGAGAGGCAACCCAUAGUAAUGCUACAGUCAUGUUCAAAAGCAGAUUUCUUGGCUAUCUGUAUGUCUGUUGUUGAUAAUUUCCCUCCUAAAAUCUUAAUUUACCAAAUAAAAAAAAAAUCAAACUAUAUCCUUUUUGAAGAUAACCCACUUCGCCUUUUAGAGACAAAGAUCGAAAAGGAAACCAACUUUGUCCAUACAAAACCAACUUAAAUCAAUUCUCAAGGGGAUUCAACAGCAAAGGGAGCUCUGUUUAAGCUCUCUGUAAAUGAACCAAAACCAUAGUUAGGCCACAGACAAUUCGAGAGAGAGAGAGAGAGCCUCAAAAAUAACUACCACUAGCACUAGAGCCAAAAAUAAAGCAAGAAGAAGAAUUCAUAUGACAGGAUCUCUAAAGAAAUUAGCGUUUCAGUUCUUUUAGCAAUAAAAAAAAAAAAAGAAAGAAAAAGAUAACCCAAAACCAUUGAAGCCCGCCUAUUGCACAAGAUUUAGACAAAGAAAUUGGCAGCCAUUUAAGAUUGAAAGUUUUCCUUGUGCAAAAAGCACUGGAAUCCCAAAAAAGAGAAACUAUAGUUGUCACAAGUAACAUCCACUCUUGUUUCCUAUUAUACUUUCAAUUACACUGUUGGCAUUUCUAGCAGGUUUUUCAGUGAACUUUGGAUAUGAUAGCUUUAUUUGUGUGUCUAUUUAUGGAAGCUCAUUCUAGGAUUGCCACGAGAAGAUUCCUUGCAUAUUGUGGGUCAAACUAUAUGUGAUUUUACUAAUUGCAAUUCACCAGGAAAAAAAAAAUCAGCAAAAUUGUGUUCUUCCUUUCAGGAUCAGAAAAUAGAUGAAGAAUUUGAAUUGCUUGUACUUGCAAGUGAUGGACUAUGGGAUGUGGUACCCAAUGAGGUAUGCAUGCCAACACCACAAUUCCACACACACCACACCACACAACACCCACCCACCCCCCCCUUCUCUCUCUAAGAUGAGCAUUGUGCACGCAUGCCCAUGAAAAACCACAGGCUGAAAGGCACUUCUGAGGAAUGAUCUAAAUGAGACAUGAGAUUUUGAUCAUUAUAAGGAUAUAUGCCUGGUUGGUUUAUGGGGUCAAGAUUCCAAUUGUUGGAUUAUAUUUUAUUGAUGUAGUCCUGCAGUUGGUCUGCCAUCUAUACGAUUGAGUUGAUUUCCUGGAAAUGAUUUUUUUUCCCCCUUCGGAUUGAAUCAACAGAGGGUUGUUUGUAACUUUUUAGACUUUUCCUUAAUCUGUUUGCUGAGUAGGCGUGCAUUAUGUCUAGGAUGCGGUUUCAAUUGCUCAAACAGAAGAAGAACCUGAGGCGGCAGCCAGAAAAUUAACAGAAGCUGCUUUUACGCGUGGCAGUGCAGACAACAUAACAUGCAUUGUGGUGAGAUUCCAUCAUGACAAGGCAGAUAAAGGCAAUGCCCAGAGUAAUUAGAAAUUGCUAUUUAUGUUAGCAUGUGUAGAUUUAUUGAUGCUUUACGCAAAUCUAGUUUUGCUAUCUGUGCAUGCAUGAUAGUUGAAUGUGCAUAUGGUGGAGUCCAUUUGUUUAUUCAUUGUUUAGUUUCUUAACAAGAGCAUGGACUUGGGUGCUCUCUUCUAUUCUAGAGCCUUCCAUACAGCUGUGUGUCUACUGCCUACCUUCCAGGCUUUAAUUUUCAUCUAAUAAAGGUAUUUCGUGCCUCUUUCCUUCACUUUGCUCAUUGAGGUUAAACCAUGGUCAAUUUAACGAGUCUAG
RNAcentral lists this unclassified non-coding RNA (4163 nucleotides) under Hevea brasiliensis (rubber tree). Lineage: Eukaryota; Viridiplantae; Streptophyta; Magnoliopsida; Malpighiales; Euphorbiaceae. The record is from RNAcentral.